Molecule: ribosomal RNA, 801 nt
Filed under: uncultured bacterium
Lineage: Bacteria
Description: bacterial SSU rRNA
Rfam family: Bacterial small subunit ribosomal RNA
Source: RNAcentral
CAAUCGGCGAAGGCAAGCUGGCUGGGACGAUUACGACGCUGAGACGCGAAAGCGUGGGGAGCAAUCAGGAUUAGAUACCCUGGUAGUCACGCCGUAAACGAUGGGCACUAGAUGUGGGGGGUGUCGACUCCCCCCGUGUCGUAGCUAACGCGUUAAAGUGCCCCGCCUGGGGAGUACGGCCGCAAGGGCUAAAACUCAAAGGAAUUGACGGGGACCCGCACAAGCAGCGGAGCAUGUGGAUUAAUUCGACGCAACGCGAAGAACCUUACCUGGGCUUGACAUGCUGCUGACCUCCCUGGAAACAGGGAUUCCCUUCGGGGCAGCAAUACAGGUGGUGCAUGGCUGUCGUCAGCUCGUGUCGUGAGAUGUUGGGUUGAGUCCCGCAACGAGCGCAACCCCCGUCCUAUGUUGCCAGCGGAUAAUGCCGGGGACUCAUGGGAUACUGCCGGUGACAAACCGGAGGAAGGUGGGGAUGACGUCAAGUCAUCAUGCCCCUUAUGUCCAGGGCUUCACACGUGCUACAUUGGCGCAUACAGAGGGCUGCGAUACCGCGAGGUGGAGCGAAUCCCAAAAAGUGCGUCUCGGUUCGGAUUGGAGGCUGAAACUCGCCUCCAUGAAGGCGGAGUUGCUAGUAAUCCCGGAUCAGCAAUGCCGGGGUGAAUACGUUCCCGGGUCUUGUACACACCGCCCGUCACACCACGAAAGCAAGCAACACCCGAAGCCGGUGAGCUAACCCUCUGGGAGGCAGCCGUCGAAGGUGGGGCUCGUGAUUGGGGUGAAGUCGUAACAAGGUAACCGUAA